UAGGGAAUCUUCCACAAUGGACGCAAGUCUGAUGGAGCAACGCCGCGUGAGUGAAGAAGGUCUUCGGAUCGUAAAGCUCUGUUGUUGGUGAAGAAGGAUAGAGGCAGUAACUGGUCUUUAUUUGACGGUAAUCAACCAGAAAGUCACGGCUAACUACGUGCCAGCAGCCGCGGUAAUACGUAGGUGGCAAGCGUUGUCCGGAUUUAUUGGGCGUAAAGCGAGCGCAGGCGGAAUGAUAAGUCUGAUGUGAAAGCCCACGGCUCAACCGUGGAACUGCAUCGGAAACUGUCAUUCUUGAGUGCAGAAGAGGAGAGUGGAACUCCAUGUGUAGCGGUGGAAUGCGUAGAUAUAUGGAAGAACACCAGUGGCGAAGGCGGCUCUCUGGUCUGCAACUGACGCUGAGGCUCGAAAGCAUGGGUAGCGAACAGGAUUAGAUACCCUGGUAGUCC
RNAcentral lists this ribosomal RNA (449 nucleotides) under uncultured bacterium. RNAcentral describes it as "partial 16S ribosomal RNA". It matches the Rfam family "Bacterial small subunit ribosomal RNA", at positions 355 to 796 of the family's 1533-position model. The record is from RNAcentral.